This is a long non-coding RNA of Felis catus (domestic cat), 1484 nucleotides long. RefSeq lists it as uncharacterized. NCBI's taxonomy places the organism in Eukaryota, Metazoa, Chordata, Mammalia, Carnivora, Felidae. The transcript has 3 exons. The record is from RefSeq and is a predicted model, not a curated record.
CUCUGAGCCAUCAGCCCAGAGCCUGACGCGGGGCUCGAACUCACGGACCGCAAGAUCGUGACCUGGCUGAAGUUGGACGCUUAACCGACUGCGCCACCCAGGCGCCCCGAGAAUAAACUUGUUUUUGAAGGUCCCCAAAUGACUCCAGAAGAAGGGAUUCUGUCUAAGGGAGAGAUUUGACCAGCAGUUUGAUUAGUCUCGAUAUGUAUUUAAUAGUUAAUAUUUAAAAACUUGUGUAAUAUUUAGUAAUCGGCUUUUUUUAAAUUAAACAUAAGACAGUAUUAAUUGGACUGGGUAUUAAUAAAUAAUUACUAAUAUUGAACAUAGUUCUUAAAUUCCAUUUAGGUUCUAAGUACUCAUUUGACAAAUCUUUGAGUGCCAUAGCUGAGGCCCCUGGAGCUAGAUUUUUGAGUUGUGACAAAAAACAAGGACAGUUUUAUCCUCCAUCUCAGAAAGAGGUAACGGUCAUCUUGGAGACGAGUUACCAGAAUGCAUCUUGCUCUCCUCCUUCAUCAUGUCUGUGUCUGGAAUGCUUUCUAUUUACCCCUCUCCCUACUGCAAUACUGUUCUCCUUUUGGCCUCCUGGCCGAGUCCUAGUCAUCUGCUGAGUCCCAACCCAGAUGCUCUUUGAAACCUUCCUGAAUUUCCCAACCAAAGUCAGAUGUUAUUUCUUCCUUUGUCCCACUCUAUUUUGUGCACGACUCCAUUAGAGAGCAUUUACAGAGGAAUUUUCAUUGCUGGUUUAUAUGUCUGUCUUUGCCCGGAACUGUGAGUUCUCCGAGGACCAUUAUUGGGCCAUUAUUUGAUGUGAGGCAUUACUUCUAGUGCUGUAGAGAGGAGACAGAGUUGUUUCAAAUAUAGUCCCUGUUUUCUAAGAACUUACUGUUUAGAGCUUUAGGGCAAGAAAGGAACUCGUUGUUGGUAAUUGCCUCACUCUGCCACUCUUCCGGAGGAUCCGGGGAAAAGAGUUCCUGGUUUUAAUAUAGGUUUUAUUACUGUUCAGGUAUGGUAAGGCCAACCAAUCAGGAGACAGCUGCCAUCGAAAAGAUCAUAUACUUAUAGAUCUGAAGGCAAGGGCGUGCCACGCCAUGAGGGCCACACAGGGAAGCACCAGGGACAAGGGGAAAACUGUCACAGCCUUUAUUGUGGUCUCCAUGGGAAGGAACAGGUGCCAGGCAGUCGGAAGCGUUUCCUGUGCAUGUGGUGGCCUGAUCCUGUCUGCACAUCUGUGAGGUUCUGGUGGCUGAGAAGACUCCUGUUCUCAAGGAAGGAAAAUGCUUGAAAACAGCCAACCAGAGUGAGAGAGAUCCGAAUCCGUCCACGUCACACAGCUUGGGGAUGGAGACUGAUUUCUAGGUUUUCGGUAGAAAACAGGCGUCCUUCCUGCCUAUGUCCUGAGGAGAAAGGAGAAGCUAGUGUAACCGAAGAGGCUGGGGUCACCCUGGCUUUACACCCUCGAUUAAAGUCUGCUUGCUGUCGCAAUA